This 529-nucleotide long non-coding RNA is filed under the name Citrus sinensis (sweet orange). Its description in RNAcentral is "long non-coding RNA (CSIN_LNC005787)". The record is from RNAcentral. Lineage: Eukaryota; Viridiplantae; Streptophyta; Magnoliopsida; Sapindales; Rutaceae.
GAGUCAUAAACACUUGUAUAAAUGAUAUUGUAUAAAUUGAUGUAGCAAGAUAUCACUGUUUGAUAAAAAUAUAAAAAAAUAUUAACAAAUUUUUAUACGAAUUGAUGUGGCGUGAUUAAAUUAAUUAGAUUAAACACUUCUUGACUCGCAUGAUUUGUUUUUACAAUAAAUUAUGCCACAUCAGUUUGUAUAAAAGUUUGUAACUCUAUCAUCACUAUUUCAAUUAAUGAUAUUAUGUCAAAUUAAUUUGUACAAUACAAAAAUGCUCGUGGCUACAUCAUUAUUUAUUCAAAGUUGAAUGGUUUUGGCUUUGGAAAGUGCAUAUGGAUCAAAUUGCUCGGUGAAUGAAUGCUAGGAACCCAAUGUGAGCAUUGACUAUUAUCUAAUGGUAACAUAAUAUUGCGAAUCAAUCAUUUUAAGAUUGAUCAUUAUUUUUAAGAACCAGUAACUAAUUUUACUUUUGUUUGAACAUUUUCUUUUUAUCAUAAUUUCGCAGCUCUAAUGUGAGGUGUUGGCUGGCAGGAAAAAG